RNAcentral lists this transfer RNA (74 nucleotides) under Rugosimonospora africana. Its description in RNAcentral is "tRNA-Ile". It matches the Rfam family "tRNA". From Rfam's summary of the family: Transfer RNA (tRNA) molecules are approximately 80 nucleotides in length. Lineage: Bacteria; Bacillati; Actinomycetota; Actinomycetes; Micromonosporales; Micromonosporaceae. The record is from RNAcentral.
CCCGUCGUGGCCCAGCGGUUAGGGCACUGCUCUGAUAAGGCAGCGAUCGGUGGUUCGAAUCCACCCGACGGGAC